CGGGGUUGAUGUUAUCUUUGGUUAUCUAGCUGUAUGAGUGGUGUGGAGUCUCAUAAAGCUAGAUAACCGAAAGUAAAAAUAACCCCA
Molecule: microRNA precursor, 87 nt
Filed under: Choloepus hoffmanni (Hoffmann's two-fingered sloth)
Lineage: Eukaryota; Metazoa; Chordata; Mammalia; Pilosa; Megalonychidae
Description: microRNA 9-1 (ENSCHOG00000014697.1)
Rfam family: mir-9/mir-79 microRNA precursor family (bases 6-82)
About the family: The mature ~21nt miRNAs are processed from hairpin precursor sequences represented here. miR-9 is processed from the 5' arm of its precursor, and miR-79 from the 3' arm. The bounds of the precursors are predicted based on conservation and base pairing and are not generally known.
Source: RNAcentral